RNAcentral lists this long non-coding RNA (893 nucleotides) under Capra hircus (goat). RNAcentral describes it as "lncRNA (ENSCHIG00010003602.1)". Lineage: Eukaryota; Metazoa; Chordata; Mammalia; Artiodactyla; Bovidae. The record is from RNAcentral.
UUGGCAGAAUCUCUAAUUUUUCUUAACUGUUAAAAUUAAAUAAAGAAAUUCAUGUUCAGAAUCUUAGUUAAUUGCAAUUUCAUUACAAAGUAGUGACCUGUAAACCAUUUACUUUAUAAAAGAUAUAAAUUCUAGGCUGAGGUUAAACAAAAAUUUUGGCAUAAACUAAUGAGACCCAGAUGAUUUCUUUCCGGGAUAUGACAGUCCAUGGGACUGCCUGAGGCCAUUCUAGGUCAACAAGAGUUUUUAAGGAACUAGUUUUAAUUUCUUCUCUAAAAAUGCUGGUGGGAAAACAUUUGCAUCUAUAUUCUUUGGUCUUAUGAUUUUCCUACAGAUUGGAGAUCAUGUCCUUAAUAAAUAAUUUUGAAGGGUACUUAAAAAUAUGUUUUCAUCAAAUUGUUCAUAAGAGAACUUGAAAUCUGUGAAAUUUUAUUAUUAGUGAUAUUCUAUCUAAAUGAAAUUUGCUCAUUUCUGUUCUCAUUAGCAUACUGAUGCCCCUGGAGGAAAAGAGCUGGUGUAAUGCAUUAUUGCAGAUAUAAUCAUCUUGUUCAGCCCCAGUUACUGAUGAUUAUGACACCUAAACACUUGAGUCUGGUUCUCGUGGAAGCACAUUAAGACUGGAGACUGAGAGUUCAGAGAAUGUCACCGACUGGCCCAAGAAUGAUCCAAGUGCCUGCGCUCAGUUCUGCAAAAAUGUUCCUCUUUAUCAAGGGUUAAUGAUGGUAAGUUCAGAGCACAGCUGCAGUGUUGUACUGUUUCUUGGCUUUGAGAUUUGAACUCUUUAAGAGGAAUUGAAAAGAGAUUAUAAACUUUAUAUCAUUCAGAUGCUUUAUAAUUAUUAGAUCAAUCAUGAAGCCUCAUCUGUGCUAAAAUCUUUGGGUGUGGAGCUCUGU